Molecule: ribosomal RNA, 467 nt
Filed under: Metapenaeopsis commensalis
Lineage: Eukaryota; Metazoa; Arthropoda; Malacostraca; Decapoda; Penaeidae
Description: partial 16S ribosomal RNA
Rfam family: Bacterial large subunit ribosomal RNA
Source: RNAcentral
UAGCCUGCCCACUGAUAAGAGUUAAAGGGCCGCGGUAUCCUGACCGUGCGAAGGUAGCAUAAUCAUUAGUCUUUUAAUUGAAGGCUUGAAUGAAUGGUUGGACAAAAAGCAAGCUGUCUCAGUUGAAUUAUUUGAAUUUAACUUUUAAGUGAAAAGGCUUAAAUGUACUAAAGGGACGAUAAGACCCUAUAAAGCUUUACAAUUAUUUGGCUAAUUUAUAAAUUGUUGGUUUAACUUAAGUGAGUCAAUGUUUGUUUCGUUGGGGCGACGAGAAUAAAAUUAAGUAACUGUUCUUUAAAAGUAAUUACAAAGUUAAUUGAUAAAUAAUUGGUCCUUUACUAAAGAUUAAAAGAUUAAGUUACUUUAGGGAUAACAGCGUAAUCUUCCUUAAGAGUCCAUAUCGACAGGAAGGGUUGCGACCUCGAUGUUGAAUUAAAGUAUCCUUGUGGUGUAGCAGUUGCAAAGGA